UCAAAAUUGGACGCUAUGUUUACCUUAUUGGACCAACCAAUAUUUUCAUUAAGAAAAAAUAAAAAGUGAUGAAUUCCUAUAGACUGCAUGAAUCAAAAUAAUUAUAUACGUCACUCACUAAUUUUAAAAAAUAUUUUCGAUAGACUCUCAUCAAUAUUCUCGAUGAUAUCUUAGCGGAUAUUUGUGCAAAAUUCAUGUUAUCUCGACAAUAACUUUAAUUUCAACAACAACAAUAGUAAAAUAUUCAAUGUAUUUCCACAUAGUGGGGUCUGGGAAGGAUAGAGUGUACGCAAACCACACUACUAACUCAAGCGAAAUAGAGAAGCUGUUUCUGAUAGACCCCUUACUAUAUGGAAAUAAAAAAUAUAAAUGCAUAUAAACUUGUACAUGCAAAAUAAACUAAUAACGCUAACCACAAGAUACUACUAAAAACUAUAUAUCUGAAAGCAUAGACAACACUCAACCCACGAACAAGAAACUACAGACAUAAAUAAAGAAUGCUCCCGUAAUAUUACCGACGCACUCCCAUCCCCUAACCCUCUACCCUAAUCCGCAUCCUUCAAUCCUUCCUAUUAAGGGUCAUGUCCACCGUAAGUUGUAACUGCUCCAUAUCAUGCCUAAUCAUUUCCCUUCAAUAUUUCUUCGGCCUACCUCUACCCCGCUUAAAAUCAUCCAUAACGAGUGUCUCACACCUCCGCACUGGAGCACCGAAAUCCUUCUUCAUCACGUGCCCAAACCAACAUAACCUCACUUUUCGCAUCUUGUCCUCCAUCGAAGUAGCUCUCACCUUUUGAAAGGAUAGAGUGUACGCAAACCACACUACUAACUCAGGCGAAAUAGAGAAGCUGUUUCUGAUAGACCCCUUACUAUAUGGAAAUAAAAAAUAUAAAUGCAUAUAAACUUGUACAUGCAAAAUAAACUAAUAACGCUAACCACAAGAUACUACUAAAAACUAUAUAUCUGAAAGCAUAGACAACACUCAACCCACGAACAAGAAACUACAGACAUAAAUAAAGAAUACUCCCGUAAUAUUACUGACGCACUCCCACCCCCUAACCCUCUACCCUAAUCCGCAUCCUUCAAUCCUUCCUAUUAAGGGUCAUGUCCACCGUAAAUUGUAACUGCUCCAUAUCAUGCCUAAUCAUUUUCUUUCAAUAUUUCUUCGGCCUACCUCUACCCCGCUUAAAAUCAUCCAUAACCAGUGUCUCACACCUCCGCACUGGAGCACCGAAAUCCUUCUUCAUCACGUGCCCGAACCAACAUAACUUCACUUUUCGCAUCUUGUCCUCCAUCGAAGUAGCUCUCACCUUUUGCAAAUAAUCUGAUUCCUCACCCUAUCUUUCAUGGUAUGACCACACAGUAACUUUAAUUUAACUUUCAAAAUUCAUCAAGAAAAACAAAUUAAAGAGUUACGAAAUAAAAUAAAUAACAACCAUAAAUAUGUCUCACUAUCAAACAAGCCGGAGUCGGUUAUAUAAAUCCAUUACAAGCCAAUAUCAUAUUAAAAAUUUUAUUGUAAGUUUCCUAUUCUAAUUAAGUCAUGUUAUUUUUAUUAGGAAGUUGAUAUAUACUUACUUAUAUAAUCUGUCUGUGAUAUUUUUUCUGCGAAAGUGAGAUUUGAGGAUGAGAGAAAAAAUUAAUAACUUACGUAAUUUAUUUUUUAAGAAAAUAUUUAUCGUAAUUGAUGGCUCUUUCAAUUUGACGAAGGGGUAGCAACAGUGGCAGAAUCAAGAUUUUUAUCGAGGGGUUCAAAAGUAUAUAUAUAUAUAUAUAUAAAUUAGUCGAAGGGGGUUCAAUAUAUAAUAUAUAUAUGCAUAAAAGAUAUUUUUGAUCAUGUAAAAAUAAUAUAAUUUUUUGUUAAAGGGAUUCGACUACCCGGAGCAAAGGUGGCUCCACCACUGGUGGGGUGGGUGGUUUAUUGAUUAUUACUGCAGCGGUCAAUUACAGACACCAUAGUCAAGUCAAUUUAGCAAAAUUUAAUGUUGCAUUUAAAAAAAAAAACCAAAAAAACAGGUAGUUGAAAUACAAUAAGUAAUAGUAAAUAAAAUUUGUAACCAAAUAUCUCGAUUUUGAGCUGUGGUAAUUGAAAAAGAAAAAUCUUAAUAG
Molecule: long non-coding RNA, 2106 nt
Filed under: Capsicum annuum
Lineage: Eukaryota; Viridiplantae; Streptophyta; Magnoliopsida; Solanales; Solanaceae
Description: long non-coding RNA (CANN_LNC020582)
Source: RNAcentral